UACGUAGGGGCUAGCGUUAUCCGGAAUUACUGGGCGUAAAGGGUGCGUAGGUGGUUUCUUAAGUCAGAGGUGAAAGGCUACGGCUCAACCGUAGUAAGCCUUUGAAACUGGGAAACUUGAGUGCAGGAGAGGAGACUGGAAUUCCUGGUGUAGCGGUGAAAUGCGCAGAUAUCAGGAGGAACGCCGAUGGCGAAGGCAGGUCUCUGGACCACUACUGACGCUGAGAAGCGAAAGCAUGGGGAGCGAACAGGAUUAGAUACCCCCUGUAGUCCCU
RNAcentral lists this ribosomal RNA (274 nucleotides) under uncultured prokaryote. RNAcentral's name for it is "partial 16S ribosomal RNA". It matches the Rfam family "Bacterial small subunit ribosomal RNA", at positions 524 to 798 of the family's 1533-position model. The record is from RNAcentral.